GGUGGGGAUGACGUCAAAUCAUCAUGGCCCCUUAUGACCUGGGCUACACACGUGCUACAAUGGUUGGUACAACGAGUUGCGAGUCGGUGACGGCGAGCUAAUCUCUUAAAGCCAAUCUCAGUUCGGAUUGUAAGGCUGCAACUCGCCUACAUGAAGUCGGAAUCGCUAGUAAUCGCGGAAUCAGCACGCCGCGGUGAAUACGUUCCCGGGCCUU
RNAcentral lists this ribosomal RNA (214 nucleotides) under uncultured Streptococcus sp. RNAcentral describes it as "partial 16S ribosomal RNA". It matches the Rfam family "Bacterial small subunit ribosomal RNA", at positions 1172 to 1382 of the family's 1533-position model. The record is from RNAcentral. Lineage: Bacteria; Bacillati; Bacillota; Bacilli; Lactobacillales; Streptococcaceae.